CCUACGGGAGGCAGCAGUGGGGAAUAUUGCGCAAUGGGCGAAAGCCUGACGCAGCGACGCCGCGUGAGGGAUGAAGGUCUUCGGAUCGUAAACCUCUGUCAGCAGGGAAGAACGGUCACUGUGCUAAUCAGCAGUGAAUUGACGGUACCUGCAAAGGAAGCACCGGCUAACUCCGUGCCAGCAGCCGCGGUAAUACGGAGGGUGCGAGCGUUAAUCGGAAUUACUGGGCGUAAAGCGGUCGUAGGCGGUAUGUCAAGUAAAGGGGGAAAUCCCCGCGCUCAACGUGGGAACUGACUUUGAAACUGGCAAACUGGAGUGUGUGAGAGGAUAGUGGAAUUCCAGGUGUAGGAGUGAAAUCCGGAGAUAUCUGGAGGAACAUCAGUGGCGAAGGCGACUAUCUGGCACAUAACUGACGCUGAGGAGCGAAAGCGUGGGUAGCAAACAGGAUUAGAUACCCCAGUAGUC
This 465-nucleotide ribosomal RNA is filed under the name uncultured bacterium. RNAcentral describes it as "partial 16S ribosomal RNA". It matches the Rfam family "Bacterial small subunit ribosomal RNA", at positions 338 to 795 of the family's 1533-position model. The record is from RNAcentral.